CCCAGGGUUUUCCGGCCCGCUUUAUUUCCUCGCCCUCGGACCCUCCCCUGAAAAUCCUAUAGAUCCCUUUCUUCAGUCUCUGUGGCUCCCCGACGGGAUGUGGUGUCUCCUAUUACAAGAUCUAAUGAUCUCCCCCGAAUUCCAGCAUCUCCCCCUUCAUGUGCGGUCUGGCUUCAAGCCCUGUCACUCAGUCAGCUCUUGGGGCCUGAAUCCCUGGACCUUAUGUACCCCUCCCCUUUGUCCCUUAUUCAUGUCUCCCCAAGAGUAAGGUGGCUCACAGGGUCUUCGGAUGAGCAUUAAAUGCUUGGAGUGAGGAUAGACCUGAACCCAGAUCCAAGAUGGCUUGCGACCUCCUCCGCACCCAGUGCGCUCUUGCCUACACCGGCAGGGCUAAUAACCUAGAAGAGACAGAGCAGCUACAUCAGGACCUAGCUUCCUCAGCAGGGCUGCUUUGAAUUCUGACCCCAGACCCCCGCAGCCACCCCGAGGUUGUACCUUCCUCCUCCUCAACUCCCGAUCUCGCUUGAUUGGCUAUCGUGUGUAGCUCGACAGCAGGAAGAGCACCCUGAAUUCUCAGGGAAGAACUGCGCCCAAGGUUUCUAGGGGAGUCCCUCUAUUCCUGACUCAGACUCUGUGCAGACUGCGUCAGGUUCUGCGGCCCCCGGACAGAAGGCUGGGCAGAGGGAAGGACUACCACAGACAAAAUGUCAGCUGGCAUUUCCAUGAAUCUCUAGGUCCGCGGUUCUCAACCUUCCUAACGCUGCGACCCUUCAAUACAGUUCCGCAUGCUGUGGUGACCCCAACCAGAAAAUGAUUUCAUUACCACUUCAUUGCUGUAACUUUGCUACUGUUAUGACUCGUAAUGUAAAUAUCUGUGUUUUCCAAUGGUCUUAGGUAACCCCUGUGAGAGGGCCAUUCGACCCUCGACAGGGUCACGACCCACAGGUUGAGAACUUCCAGUCUAAGCCCAUCUGCUAGAGAUUCCACCGCUAACCGGACCUUACCCUUAGUUCCGGGUUUUAUGUCCCCUAAGUUCUUACUUUCCCUUCCCCAAGAUGGGAGCCAACUCCACCAGAGCGCUGCCAUAGGGGGUGGGGCGCCCACGUGCUGUUGCCUCCUCUCUCCUCUUCCCUAAGAUGUAGAGUACGGGGCCUCCCUGGUUGACAGAAAAGACUAGGAGCCUGUGCUAUAUAUAUGGGGAUGCUUGUAAUUCCCCAGCCCCCUGCCGCAGCACCAGGGAUCAGGUUUGAGUUCAGCAUCAGGGCAAGAGGUUCCUGGCAUCAAGAAUGGCAAAAGAACCAGAAGGCUGGUCUCCGGGAGUGGGGGGAGCGCCGGGGGGCACUGAAAUAAGGAAGGGGACACUGGGAAGAAUGCGUUGGAGCAGGGCUGUCCCUGGCUCUGGCUUGAGGUCAGAAAGGGCUCUCUGGGCAGCAGACAGCAUGCCUGGCCCUCCCACACCUUCCUCCUUUCUCAGAAGAGCCUGCAUGGGUGGGCGGGGCUCCAGGGCAGGGUGAGGGCCUACUUAAGGAGCCACACAGUUGGUUAUUCCAGAUCCAGCCCCAGGGAUGCCAGAGAAGAGGCUCUGUGGGUAAGUGCUGCUCCUUUCACUGGGUUCAGCGGGGCGGUGGGAGGGUGACUCCUGAGUCUGCUGGUUUGACUUUCCUCUCCAGGGACGUGAGGAUAGCACCCAGCUGUCACUUAACUCUCCAGAAACUGGAAGUGCAUUUCAGGGAAGCCUUCCUCCUCCACUCAGCUAUCCCAAACACUCAAGACCUUCAUUCAAGUGGGCGAUUUUCCGGAGCUAAUCGUCCUGCGUGGCUGUCUUGGAGAUCCCCCUUAGCUGAGGAAGCUGCUUUAACUACAGACACAUGCCCUUGUCAGAUGCAAAUUUUGGCUUUUCCCCCUGACUCUCACCCCCCUCGCCCCUAUACCCACCCACCAAGGACACAUCUGGGCCCCCCUAUACCCACCCACCAAGGACACAUCUGGGCUCCCCUAUACCCACCCACCAAGGACACAUCUGGGCCGGCCGGUGAUAAAAGGGCCCACGGCAAUAUCCAGUCCCUGCCAUACUCUGAGCCGCUCCCCUCACGCUUGACUCCAGUUCUUGUCCAUUUCUCUAGCUGUGGGAUCCUAUUUUCAGCUCCAAGCUCAGCACCCCACCACUGAGGGGGUAGGAAGUAUUCUGAGAUCCCAGGCUACAUCCUGGAUCUCAAUUUGUCCAUGUUGGGAUUGGGGGAACAUUUACAGAAGAGGACCAAUGAGAUAGCUCCAGGUACUUACCUCAAAACCUGGUGCCCCUGAAACCCACAGGGCGGAAAACCCACCCAACCUCACAUGCCCUGUGUGUGCAGACACACCACACACACACACACACACACACACACACACACACACACACACACACACACACACAAUGUUAAAAACAAUUCCCAGAAGAGAGCUUUGGAGGGCAGCAUCCAGGCUGAGAGAACAUUGGCCACCUGGCUCUGAGAACUGAAUUCCAUAGGCUGUGAGCUCUAGCAAAUGCCCUAGGGACUCAGUUCUGGUGCCCGGCUGUGCUAUUCCAUCAAUACCAAAGCUAUGUAGGAAACCAGAGGGUUCUCACAGCUGCCCCACAGGUGCCCCUAGAGGCUCCUUGACGGAACCCUUUAAUCACACUGACUUGGGGUACUCUUCUGCUGAAAGGCUUCAGGAGCUUCCCAACUGAAUCACCCCCCCCCCACCCCUAUCUUUCUCUCUGAGACAGGAUACCUAUAGCUCAGGAUAGCUGUAUAGCCCAGGAUAACCUUGAACUACUGACCUUCCUGCCUCUACCUCCCGAGUGUUUACAGACAUGCUCCGUUCUAUCUGGCCUGUAUCUGUUUGCUGUCAGUGUUCCAGAAGGACUUCCAAUUAGCUUUCAGGGCUGAUCUUCCACGGCUCUCUCGUGGAUGAGGACCUGCUGCUUCCUGCAGCUUCACUCCUGCAGUCUCCUCGGGUUACCUCUUCCCCAUCUCUGUCUAGCAGAGUCCUGUUUGUCCUUUGGAGCCUCUUUGAACUUCCCAACAGUGCACAGAUUCCCCAUGCUCCUUCCUUCCCGGCGGGGGCAGAUUCAUAAGCCCCUUCCCCUGGUAGUGUCUACCCAGUGUUCUCCACAUGAUAGUUCCCCCAAUAAACAUGCCUCGCAGUGUU
Molecule: long non-coding RNA, 3174 nt
Organism: Peromyscus californicus insignis
Lineage: Eukaryota; Metazoa; Chordata; Mammalia; Rodentia; Cricetidae
Exons: 2
Source: RefSeq, a predicted model, not a curated record